Molecule: ribosomal RNA, 397 nt
Filed under: uncultured bacterium
Lineage: Bacteria
Description: partial 16S ribosomal RNA
Rfam family: Bacterial small subunit ribosomal RNA
Source: RNAcentral
AUACGUAGGUGACAAGCGUUAUCCGGAUUUACUGGGCGUAAAGGGCGUGUAGGCGGUCUUGCAAGUCAGAAGUGAAAUUCCUGAGCUCAACUCGGGCGCUGCUUCUGAAACUGCCGGACUUGAGUGCUGGAGGGGAUAGCGGAAUUCCUAGUGGAGCGGUAAAAUGCGCAGAUAUUAGGAAGAACACCGGUGGCGAAGGCGGCUAACUGGACAGUAACUGACGCUGAGGCGCGAAAGCGUGGGGAGCAAACAGGAUUUGAUACCCUGGUAGUCCACGCCGUAAACGAUUAAUACUAGGUGUAGGGGGUAUCGACUCCCUCUGUGCCGCAGUUAACACAAUAAGUAUUCCGCCUGGGGAGUACGGCCGCAAGGUUGAAACUCAAAGGAAUUGACGGGG